UCAAAACAGCGGCCUUCGGGCCUCGCUGCACCCUUGUCUUUUGCGCACCGUAUUGUUUCCUCGGCGGGCUUGCCUGCCGGUUGGACAUCAUAAAACCUUUUUGUAGUUGCAAUCAGCGUCAGAAAAACAAUAAUUAUUG
RNAcentral lists this unclassified non-coding RNA (139 nucleotides) under soil metagenome. RNAcentral's name for it is "partial internal transcribed spacer 1". The record is from RNAcentral.